CCUCCCGAUAUUUCUCCUCCCGUUCUGUUGCCACUUGAAGAUGUUUGACAACAACAACUUUGUCGAUAUUCGCAGCCGCAACCUUAUUGGCCCAUGAUCGACGAAGGUCCAUGAUCACUCCGUACCCUCUCUCUAGUGCUGACAUAUCAUGCACUAGCUGAAAAGAAGAAGAGAAGAGUUUUAAAAAAAAAGCAAGUAUAAGAAAGAUGGAGGAUGGAGUACCAACUUACAUUGAGGAUCGUCAGAUAAUAUAAUGAGAACAUGUCGGACACGGUCUAACUCUUUCUGUUAUCCCUAUC
This 299-nucleotide long non-coding RNA is filed under the name Elaeis guineensis (African oil palm). RNAcentral describes it as "long non-coding RNA (EGUI_LNC040203)". The record is from RNAcentral. Lineage: Eukaryota; Viridiplantae; Streptophyta; Magnoliopsida; Arecales; Arecaceae.